Molecule: long non-coding RNA, 2847 nt
Filed under: Daphnia pulicaria
Lineage: Eukaryota; Metazoa; Arthropoda; Branchiopoda; Diplostraca; Daphniidae
Description: uncharacterized LOC124349160
Source: RNAcentral
CCAACGCCCGCCGGUGGUCACUCACUCGCUGCGACAACCAGGAGGAAGGGAGAUGUCUAGUCGAACGGGGACUUGCAAUAAGGCGCAUGUUUCGAUGAAAUCUGUUGGAGGGUCAUGAGUUUAAUCCGGAAGCCUACUAUGAUGCAUUGCUCUCUUAAAAACUGUUCCUCGGCUCUCUUCGCUCUUUUUCCGGUUUCUCUUAACCAUGGCCGGGUAAUCUCCCUGGUCGAUUCAGUCGGGCAGUGUCUUCUCCUGCUUGACUGGCUGCAGUUUGAACCGGACGGUCUGUUUAAAUAAGAAUUUAAAUCUAGAACAACGCUUCCUUUGAGCGGCCCGGACAAUCCUUAAGGGUUGCCACUCCAUCGAGGCUUAAACGAGGAUGACGCGGAGGUGUUGCCCAUUGAGGGGUUUUGGUGAAAAGGAGUCACUGAACAAAACGCUAAACCAAAUGAAAAAAAAUAUUAAAAAAGGUAAUGCUAUACUAUGCGACAUGAAGCUUUUGCUUUCGCAGAAAAUAAUGUGAAAUUCUUACUGCUUAGCAACGAAAACAAAGCGAGUGUCAAAACAUUGUUUUUCUUGCUCAUACAUUAUUGUGGCAGAAACGCGUUGGUCAUGUAACGGCCCAUCCCCAGCAACGUCAAUCUGCAGAAAGAAAAAGGCCAAUUUCCAUGGCCUUCAGACUCGAAGGUCGCGGAGAUAAUUACGUUAAACUGGCAUGGGGUGGUGUAGAGGUUGGGUGAGAAUGACACGUGUUUCAACAUUAUCAAGCAGACCCAUCCCCGGCAAAGUCACCUGCAGAAGGAGAGGCCAUGGAUAUCAUUACGUAAAAGGUGUCAUGCAGUGGUAAGAGGUUGGGUGAGAACGGGGCGUUUUGCAUCAUUAUCAAGAAGGUAAAAUAGCCACAAGGCUUAAGAGAAGGGGUGAGAAAAAGUCGUAUAAAAGGCGAGAGAAAAGUCGACAGGGAUCAGUCGAGCGAGUAUCUCCGACACGGCAACAAUGUCAUUCUUCGUGGUAAUAUCAGUUCGCAAUCAUGGUUAAUUAUGGUGUUGUGUUGCUGUUGGGUGUUGUAUCGUUGAUGUCGACCACGAGAGAAAAUCUUUCAAAAGGAAAGAGAAAGGGCAACAGAAGUCAAUCGAGUGAGCAUCUCUGACCCGGCAAUAGUUGCAUUCUUCGUUGUAUUACCAGGUCGCAAUCACGGUUAACUAUGGCGUCGUGCUGCUAUUGGAUGUUGUAUUGUCGAUGGCUGGGUCGACCACUGGUGUACCGAUGUCUCCUAGAUAAGGCGGUUACCAAACUGCAACGCCACCGCCUUACUACACAACAAUAUACACAGCGACCAGUUACUACACCGAGGUUGCAUAGUUUGGUUUAAAGUUAAACCACCAAGAAUCCAGUUUAUUACACCACAACUUGUGCUGCUCCCCGAACUACAUUACCAAAGCGCUAGAGUACUACACCACCAAGGCAACUGAGAUUACGCAACUACGUAUGCUGCUCCAACCUACUACACCGAGGCUUCAGCUUAUUACAACACCAAAGCUGUCGAAUACUACACAGGAUCGCCCAAGUACGAUAGUAAUCAGUCGAGUGAGCCGAAUAAAGUUUUCCUUUUCGAAUAGAGUUCGCUUCAAACAUUGGAACGGCAAACAGUGAAGACGAAUUCUUUGGAAUUACGUCGAAUUGUAUAGAAAAGAUAACACAUUCGUACGUGUACACCGCGUCGUUAAACUUGACAUUGUUGGUCGUAAGUCGAACUUGACGAUGGCCGUACCAUCACCUACGACAUGUGCGUUAUUGCCACAGAUGGUAAACGAAAAUCUUUUCCAAUCCCUGAGCGGUGUCCUUAAAGAUCCCCACGAGCACGUAAUGCUGUUCCGCCAUAUCGAUGGCGGUAACAUAGGCCGAGUUCUCCCUAAAUAUUUGAGCCAAUGGACAACCGAGAAGGUGAAAGCGCAAGGUGUUAAUGUGUUGCUCAAAGCCUAAUGUUGAGGGUGCAAUUUUGGAAGACUACAAGGUCGCAUUGACCUUAAACCAUGGUCAAAAGAAUUCAUUUCAGCAGAUUUAAACUGACCAUGUCGUCGCUGUUGUCGGUUGGGACGCAAACUUCACGGAUUUGGCUGUCGUUUCUGGUUUGGAAAUAGAUUCCAAUUUUGGUGGUUAUCGAGUCAAUACCAGCUUGAAGCACGAUCGAACGGCUGGUUGGUAAGAAUCCUUGAACAUUUUAUUUCAUAUAAAUUUUUUUAUUAGGCUGGAGAUGUUGCGUUCGUUUGUGAUGUCAAAUUGGGUCGUCGUCGUAUAGAACAUCACUUUGCUGCCUAUCACUGGUGUCUCAAGGCGAUUGUUGGAGAGAAUAAUACUGGCAACAAAACAUGGAUGAACAACCGCAGUGCACUGUCACCAAGUGCAUUCUUCGUCGUAUUAUCAGUACGCAAUCGGUGUCGUGCUGUUGCCGUUUGUCGUAUCGUUGAAGGUUGGAUCGAUCACUGGAGUACCCAUGUCUCCUGGGUAUGGCGGAUUCCAAACCAUCCCGCCGUCUUGCUACACAACGACAACAUUCGCACCAACCGGUUACUACACAGAGGGCCACAAUUACUACCCCACCAAGGCUCCAGAGUAUUACACCGCAGCUAAUGCUGCCCCGAGCUAAAUCACCAAAGAUCCUGAGUACUACACCGAGGCUCCCAAGUACUACACCACCGAGUCACCGGAGUACUACACGUAUGUUGCCCCAGCUUAUUCACCGAGCCUCCCAAGUAUUACUCAGUUCCUAGCUACUACACCGAGGCUCCAACUUUAUUACACCACAAAAGCGGCUGAAUACUACACCGAGCCGCCCAGUUCUACACC